This 24-nucleotide unclassified non-coding RNA is filed under the name Arabidopsis thaliana (thale cress). Lineage: Eukaryota; Viridiplantae; Streptophyta; Magnoliopsida; Brassicales; Brassicaceae. The record is from RNAcentral.
AGCAAAGAUCACGAAAAGGCCCGA